CUCUCUCUGCUAGUUCCUCAAACUUUUGUUUCUGAGCUUUCCCUCUGAAUUUGAUACCCAUACGAUCAAUUUGUCCCAUCAGGUUAGUGUUAGCUAGAGAAAAGAAAAACAAGAGUUUUAGUCAGGAUUUGGCCAAAUGCCGAAAGAAGAAAAGAAUAAAAAAUUUAUGAGUUAAAAUAAAUUAAGAAUGAAUACUAAAUAAAAUUUAGAAGAAUAAUUAAAGAAGAAAUAAAAAUAAAGAUAAAGAAAAUUU
This 253-nucleotide long non-coding RNA is filed under the name Lathyrus oleraceus (garden pea). RNAcentral describes it as "Pisum sativum (pea) long non-coding RNA (PSAT_LNC015659)". The record is from RNAcentral. Lineage: Eukaryota; Viridiplantae; Streptophyta; Magnoliopsida; Fabales; Fabaceae.